GAUGAACGCUAGCUACAGGCUUAACACAUGCAAGUCGAGGGGCAGCGCAGUGUAGCAAUACAUGGGCGGCGACCGGCGCACGGGUGCGUAACGCGUAUCCAACCUUCCCGUUACUCUUGGAUAGCCUUCCGAAAGGGAGAUUAAUACAAGAUGGUAUUCAAAUUCCGCAUGUUAUUUGAAUUAAAGAUUUAUCGGUAACGGAUGGGGAUGCGUGACAUUAGAUAGUAGGCGGGGUAACGGCCCACCUAGUCUACGAUGUCUAGGGGUUCUGAGAGGAAGGUCCCCCACACUGGAACUGAGACACGGUCCAGACUCCUACGGGAGGCAGCAGUGAGGAAUAUUGGUCAAUGGGCGAGAGCCUGAACCAGCCAAGUAGCGUGAAGGAAGACUGCCCUAUGGGUUGUAAACUUCUUUUGUUCGGGAAUAAAGUGCAGUAUGUAUACUGUUUUGUAUGUACCGUUCGAAUAAGCAUCGGCUAAUUCCGUG
Molecule: ribosomal RNA, 486 nt
Filed under: uncultured bacterium
Lineage: Bacteria
Description: bacterial SSU rRNA
Rfam family: Bacterial small subunit ribosomal RNA
Source: RNAcentral